Molecule: ribosomal RNA, 444 nt
Filed under: uncultured bacterium
Lineage: Bacteria
Description: SSU rRNA
Rfam family: Bacterial small subunit ribosomal RNA
Source: RNAcentral
AGAACGAACGCUGGCGGCAUGCCUAACACAUGCAAGUCGAACGAGACCUUCGGGUCUAGUGGCGCACGGGUGCGUAACGCGUGGGAAUCUGCCCUUAGGUACGGAAUAACAGUGAGAAAUUACUGCUAAUACCGUAUGAUGUCUUCGGACCAAAGAUUUAUCGCCUAGGGAUGAGCCCGCGUUGGAUUAGCUAGUUGGUGGGGUAAAGGCCUACCAAGGCGACGAUCCAUAGCUGGUCUGAGAGGAUGAUCAGCCACACUGGGACUGAGACACGGCCCAGACUCCUACGGGAGGCAGCAGUGGGGAAUAUUGGACAAUGGGCGAAAGCCUGAUCCAGCAAUGCCGCGUGAGUGAAGAAGGCCUUCGGUUGUAACGCUUCUUUACCCGGGAAGAUAAUGACUGUACCGGGAGAAUACGCCCGGCUAACUCCGCGCCAGCAGCCGC